This is a non-coding RNA of Candidatus Portiera aleyrodidarum (primary endosymbiont of Bemisia tabaci), 73 nucleotides long. Lineage: Bacteria; Pseudomonadati; Pseudomonadota; Gammaproteobacteria; Johnevansiales (SeqCode); Johnevansiaceae (SeqCode). The record is from Rfam.
GCCGAUAUAGCUCAGUUGGUAGAGCAUCUGAUUUGUAAUCAGGUUGUCUCAGGUUCGAAUCCUGAUGUCGGUA